GACGAACGCUGGCGGCGUGCUUAACACAUGCAAGUCGAACGGUAAGGCCCUUCGGGGUACACGAGUGGCGAACGGGUGAGUAACACGUGGGUGAUCUGCCCUGCACUUCGGGAUAAGCCUGGGAAACUGGGUCUAAUACCGGAUAGGACUCCUGGCUUCAUGGUUGGGGGUGGAAAGCUUUUGCGGUGUGGGAUGGGCCCGCGGCCUAUCAGCUUGUUGGUGGGGUAAUGGCCUACAAAGGCGACGACGGGUAGCCGGCCUGAGAGGGUGACCGGUCACACUGGGACUGAGAUACGGCCCAGACUCCUACGGGAGGCAGCAGUGGGGAAUAGUGCACAAUGGGCGCAAGCCUGAUGCAGCGACGCCGCGUGAGGGAUGACGGCCUUCGGGUUGUAAACCUCUUUCAGCUAUGACGAAGCGCAAGUGACGGUAGUAGCAGAAGAAGGACCGGCCAACUACGUGCCAGCCGCCGCAGUAA
Molecule: ribosomal RNA, 478 nt
Filed under: uncultured bacterium
Lineage: Bacteria
Description: partial 16S ribosomal RNA
Rfam family: Bacterial small subunit ribosomal RNA
Source: RNAcentral